RNAcentral lists this long non-coding RNA (341 nucleotides) under Elaeis guineensis (African oil palm). RNAcentral describes it as "long non-coding RNA (EGUI_LNC068547)". The record is from RNAcentral. Lineage: Eukaryota; Viridiplantae; Streptophyta; Magnoliopsida; Arecales; Arecaceae.
AAUCUAAUAGCAUAGGAACAGAUGUCUAUAUCAAUCAAAGUAACCAUCUAGCAAUGGUACCCGACGUCUAGAUAGGCUGAAUGUAUGCAAAGCAACACUUAAGAACCUAUUUGGAUAUAGUUACCGUAUAAUUCAUCCCUUUGACCCUUGUGAAAGGAAGGAAAACAGUUUUUCUCCAUGAUACCCAAGUUGCAUCUAAAAUUUUUUUAAUAUUCUACUUGUUUAAUGAUCAAAUUCUUACCUAAAAUGCAGUGGAAUCAGGGAUCAAAUCCUAAAUUAUCUGAUAUAAACUUUCAUGGAGGCUUGGAUGUAUAGACCCUCUACUUCGCAUGCACGUCAGA